UUAUUGGGCGUAAGAGCUCGUAGGCGGUUUGUCGCGUCUGCUGUGAAAUCUCGGGGGCUCAACCCCCAGCCUGCAGUGGGUACGGGCAGACUAGAGUGCGGUAGGGGAGAUUGGAAUUCCUGGUGUAGCGGUGGAAUGCGCAGAUAUCAGGAGGAACACCGAUGGCGAAGGCAGAUCUCUGGGCCGUAACUGACGCUGAGGAGCGAAAGCAUGGGGAGCGAACAGGAUUAGAUACCCUGGUAGUCCAUGCCGUAAACGUUGGGAACUAGAUGUGGGGGCCAUUCCACGGUCUCUGUGUCGCAGCUAACGCAUUAAGUUCCCCGCCUGGGGAGUACGGCCGCAAGGCUAAAACUCAAAGGAAUUGACGGGGGCCCGCACAAGCGGCGGAGCAUGCGGAUUAAUUCGAUGCAACGCGAAGAACCUUACCAAGGCUUGACAUAUACCGGAAACGUCCAGAGAUGGUCGCCCCGCAAGGUCGGUAUACAGGUGGUGCAUGGUUGUCGUCAGCUCGUGUCGUGAGAUGUUGGGUUAAGUCCCGCAACGAGCGCAACCCUCGUUCUAUGUUGCCAUCACGUUAUGGUGGGAACUCAUAGGAGACUGCCGGGGUCAACUCGGAGGAAGGUGGGGGAUGACGUCAAAUCAUCAUGGCCCUUAUGUC
RNAcentral lists this ribosomal RNA (658 nucleotides) under Frigoribacterium sp. Its description in RNAcentral is "bacterial SSU rRNA". It matches the Rfam family "Bacterial small subunit ribosomal RNA", at positions 551 to 1208 of the family's 1533-position model. Lineage: Bacteria; Bacillati; Actinomycetota; Actinomycetes; Micrococcales; Microbacteriaceae. The record is from RNAcentral.